Molecule: ribosomal RNA, 497 nt
Filed under: uncultured bacterium
Lineage: Bacteria
Description: partial 16S ribosomal RNA
Rfam family: Bacterial small subunit ribosomal RNA
Source: RNAcentral
GAUGAACGCUGGCGGCGUGCCUAAUACAUGCAAGUCGAGCGAACGGACGAGAAGCUUGCUUCUCUGAUGUUAGCGGCGGACGGGUGAGUAACACGUGGAUAACCUACCUAUAAUACUGGGAUAACUUCGGGAAACCGGCGCUAAUACCGGAUAAUAUUUUGCACCGCAUGGUUCAAAAGUGAAAGACGGUCUUGCUGUCACUUAUAGAUGGAUCCGCGCUGCAUUAGCUAGUUGGUAAGGUAACGGCCUACCAAGGCAACGAUGCAUAGCCGACCUGAGAGGCUGAUCGGCCACACGGGAGCGGGAACACGGUCCAGACUCCUGCGGGAGGCAGCAGUAGGGAAUCUUACGCAGUGGGCGGAAACCUGGCGCAGCAGCGCCGCGUGAGUGAUAGAGGUCUUCGGAUCGGAAAACUCUGUUAUGAGGGGAAAACAUAUGUGGAAUGAACUGUGGACAGCUUGACGGUACCGAAUCAGAAAGCAACGGCUAACUACGUG